RNAcentral lists this ribosomal RNA (380 nucleotides) under uncultured soil bacterium. RNAcentral's name for it is "bacterial SSU rRNA". It matches the Rfam family "Bacterial small subunit ribosomal RNA", at positions 26 to 402 of the family's 1533-position model. The record is from RNAcentral.
AGAUUGAACGCUGGCGGCAUGCCUUACACAUGCAAGUCGAACGGCAGCACGGGAGCAAUCCUGGUGGCGAGUGGCGAACGGGUGAGUAAUAUAUCGGAACGUGCCCAGUCGUGGGGGAUAACGUAGAGAAAUUUACGCUAAUACCGCAUACGAUCCAAGGAUGAAAGCGGGGGACCGUAAGGCCUCGCGCGACUGGAGCGGCUGAUAUCAGAUUAGCUAGUUGGUGAGGUAAGGCUCACCAAGGCGACGAUCUGUAGCUGGUUUGAGAGGACGACCAGCCACACUGGGACUGAGACACGGCCCAGACUCCGUACGGGAGGCAGCGAGGUGGGAAUUUUGGACAAGUAGGGGGAAACCCUGACUCCAGACCACUCCCGCGU